CCUACGGGUGGCAGCAGUGGGGAAUAUUGCACAAUGGGGGGAACCCUGAUGCAGCGACGCCGCGUGAGUGAAGAAGUAUUUCGGUAUGUAAAGCUCUGUCAGCAGGGAAGAAGAAAGACGGUACCGGACCAAGAAGCCCCGGCUAAAUACGUGCCAGCAGCCGCGGUAAUACGUAGGGGGCAAGCGUUAUCCGGAUGCACUGGGGGUAAAGGGAGCGUAGACGGCCAUGCAAGCCAGGGGUGAAAGCCCGGGGCUCAACGCCGGGACUGCCCUUGGAACUGGGCGGCUAGAGUGCGGGAGGGGCAGGCGGAAUUCCUGGUGUAGCGGUGAAAUGCGUAGAUAUCAGGAGGAACACCGGCGGCGAAGGCGGCCUGCUGGACCGCGACUGACGUUGAGGCUCGAAAGCGUGGGGAGCGAACAGGAUUAGAUACCCUUGUAGUC
RNAcentral lists this ribosomal RNA (441 nucleotides) under uncultured bacterium. RNAcentral's name for it is "partial 16S ribosomal RNA". It matches the Rfam family "Bacterial small subunit ribosomal RNA", at positions 338 to 795 of the family's 1533-position model. The record is from RNAcentral.